Molecule: ribosomal RNA, 403 nt
Filed under: uncultured bacterium
Lineage: Bacteria
Description: partial 16S ribosomal RNA
Rfam family: Bacterial small subunit ribosomal RNA
Source: RNAcentral
AUUGAACGCUGGCGGCAGGCCUAACACAUGCAAGUCGAGCGAGCGGCGGACGGGUGAGUAAUGUAUGGGGACUGCCCGAUAGAGGGGGAUCACUACUGGAAACGGUAGCUAAUACCGCAUACUAUCGGAUAACCCAUAUGGGAUUAGGUAGUAGGUGGGGUAAAGGCUCACCUAGGCGACGAUCUCUAGCUGGUCUGAGAGGAUGAUCGGCCACACUGGGAUGGAGAAACGGCCCAGACUCCUACGGAGGCAGCAGAGGGGAAUAUUGGACAAUGGGCGCAAGCCUGAUGCAGCACGGCGGGGUGUAUGAAGAAGGCCUUAGGGUGUUAAAGUACUUUCAGCGGGGAGGCGUUACCCGCAGAAGAAGCGCCGGCUAACUCCGUGCCAGCAGCCGCGGUAAUUC